UGCAGAACAGAAAGCCUUCACAGUAAAUUGAACUAAAAGUACACAUAGUACACAGGAUGGAUUAAAUAAAUGAAAGGAGAAGAAAUAAAAGCCAAAAACAUACAAAGUUAACCUGAGCUAAGUAAAGCAAGAUGUAACUAGACAAUUAUAAUAGAGAUAAUCAAAAGUCUUAUCUUUAUGUUUAUUUAUUUAGAUAUCUUCCCUUAUGUAAGAUGACAUUUAAGAGAAAAUUUUGAAUGAAAUAUGUGGCUAGAUAGAUAGAUAGAUAGAUAGAUAGAUAGAUAGAUAGAUAGAUAGAUAGAUAGAUAGAUAGAUAGAUAGAUAGAUAGAACACCAUAUUCAUCUGAAGGGAAAUCAGCAAACUCUUCUAUUGCAGCAGGACAAAGAACAAAAGAACAGCAAAAUGAUUUCCAUAUGCUGUUCACAGAUGCAUAAGUAGAAGAAGUAAAGAUAAAUAGCAAAAUCUACUAAAACAACAGUAAUAAUAUAAUGUUCAGUGCAAAAAUAAGUAGUAAAAUCGCAUAAAUUCUAUGCAGGCAGCGAUGCAGUGGUGUAUGUCCCCUCCGGUGACUAUGCACUGUAAAUGAUAACCUCUGUUAACAGGUGUGCGAUAUGGAAUAUUUAUGGAUGUAUAAAAAAAGUGGCAGUGCAAUGCGCAGUAUUCACAGACAUUUAAAACAUUUCAAAGACAGAUCAAAUUGAUAUUCUAACGCAUCAGAAAAAUAUGCAUAUACUUACUUUUUAGGGCAAACAAGUAAAACAGAAGCAGCCCUCGUGACAUGUUGAAAGUCUUUUAGAGCUUUAAGGGUGACCUUCAUCCUCCGAACAGCAGCGGCGUGUCCUUCAGCCUACAAACACCCGCCCCUUUAAAAGCGAUGGCUGUACAACAGGCCACUUUAUCCAAACAUAUACAGUAAAAAACAGCUGCUUUAACUUAAACAAGUCAGCGUUUCUACUGCCUUACAAUCUUGAGUCAACUGAAUUUCGCUUGGACGCAGAAUGAGCCAUUAGGCCCUGAUGUUUUUCCAACCUGGACACGCUGAUGGACA
Molecule: long non-coding RNA, 1049 nt
Organism: Pygocentrus nattereri (red-bellied piranha)
Lineage: Eukaryota; Metazoa; Chordata; Actinopteri; Characiformes; Serrasalmidae
Source: Ensembl